AGAGUUUGAUCCUGGCUCAGGACGAACGCUGGCGGCGUGCCUAACACAUGCAAGUCGAACGGGGAGUUAGCAAUAACUCCUAGUGGCGAACGGGUGAGUAACGCGUAGACAACCUACCUUCUAGAUGGGGACAACACUGCGAAAGUGGUGCUAAUACCGAAUGUUGUAUCCGGGUUGCAUAAUCUGGAUACUAAAGGUGGCCUCUAUUUAUAAGCUACCGCUAGAAGAUGGGUCUGCGUCUGAUUAGCUAGUUGGUGGGGUAACGGCCCACCAAGGCGACGAUCAGUAGCCGGUCUGAGAGGAUGAACGGCCACACUGGGACUGAGACACGGCCCAGACUCCUACGGGAGGCAGCAGUGGGGAAUCUUGCGCAAUGGGCGAAAGCCUGACGCAGCAACGCCGCGUGCGGGAAGAAGGCCUUAGGGUUGUAAACCGCUUUCAGUAGGAACGAAAAUGACGGUACCUGCAGAAGAAGGUGCGGCCAACUACGUGCCAGCAGCCGCGGUGACACGUAGGCACCAAGCGUUGUCCGGAUUUAUUGGGCGUAAAGAGCUCGUAGGCGGUUCAGUAAGUCGGGUGUGAAAACUCUGGGCUUAACCCAGAGCCGCCACUCGAUACUGCUGUGACUUGAGUUCGGUAGGGGAGCAGGGAAUUCCUAGUGUAGCGGUGAAAUGCGCAGAUAUUAGGAGGAACACCGGUGGCGAAAGCGCUGCUCUGGGCCGAUACUGACGCUGAGGAGCGAAAGCGUGGGUAGCAAACAGGAUUAGAUACCCUGGUAGUCCACGCCGUAAACG
Molecule: ribosomal RNA, 794 nt
Filed under: uncultured bacterium
Lineage: Bacteria
Description: bacterial SSU rRNA
Rfam family: Bacterial small subunit ribosomal RNA
Source: RNAcentral